This 237-nucleotide ribosomal RNA is filed under the name uncultured bacterium. RNAcentral describes it as "partial 16S ribosomal RNA". It matches the Rfam family "Bacterial small subunit ribosomal RNA", at positions 15 to 239 of the family's 1533-position model. The record is from RNAcentral.
GAUCAUGGCUCAGGAUGAACGCUAGCUACAGGCUUAACACAUGCAAGUCGAGGGGCAGCGGGAUUGAAGCUUGCUUCAAUUGCCGGCGACCGGCGCACGGGUGAGUAACGCGUAUCCAACCUUCCGUACACUCAGGGAUAGCCUUUCGAAGAAAGAUAAUACCUGAUGGUAUCUUAAGCACACAUGUAAUUAAAGAAUUAAAGAAUUUAUUCGGUGGUACGAUGGGGAGUGCGUUCC